This 142-nucleotide ribosomal RNA is filed under the name Pseudocercospora brachypus. RNAcentral's name for it is "partial 18S ribosomal RNA". It matches the Rfam family "Eukaryotic small subunit ribosomal RNA", at positions 1693 to 1831 of the family's 1831-position model. The record is from RNAcentral. Lineage: Eukaryota; Fungi; Ascomycota; Dothideomycetes; Mycosphaerellales; Mycosphaerellaceae.
AUGGCUCAGUGAGGCCUUCGGACUGGCCCAGGGAGGUCGGCAACGACCACCCAGGGCCGGAAAGUUGGUCAAACUCGGUCAUUUAGAGGAAGUAAAAGUCGUAACAAGGUCUCCGUAGGUGAACCUGCGGAGGGAUCAUUAC